Molecule: ribosomal RNA, 253 nt
Filed under: uncultured bacterium
Lineage: Bacteria
Description: partial 16S ribosomal RNA
Rfam family: Bacterial small subunit ribosomal RNA
Source: RNAcentral
UACAGAGGGUGCGAGCGUUGUUCGGAAUUAUUGGGCGUAAAGGGCGCGUAGGCGGUGCGGUAAGUCACCUGUGAAAUCUCCUGGCUUAACUGGGAGCCUGCAGGCGAAACUACCGUGCUGGAGUGUGGGAGAGGUGCGUGGAAUUCCUGGUGUAGCGGUGAAAUGCGCAGAUAUCAGGAGGAACACCGGUGGCGAAGGCGGAUCUCUGGGCCUUACCUGACGCUCAGGUGCGAAAGCUAGGGGAGCGAACAGG